Molecule: long non-coding RNA, 238 nt
Organism: Anneissia japonica
Lineage: Eukaryota; Metazoa; Echinodermata; Crinoidea; Comatulida; Comatulidae
Exons: 2
Source: RefSeq, a predicted model, not a curated record
UUGUUUUUCUAGUUUGAUGAGUUGAAGAAUGUAUAUGAUGGCGAAUACAAGGCUGAUGCUAUCACCACAUUUGUCACAGAGAACAGCCUUCCACUUGUCAUCGAAUUCACAGAAAAGUCUGCUCAAAAGAUCUUUGGUGGGGCAGUUAAGGUUCAUCUACUUCUAUUUGUCAAAAAAGAUGCUGAUAACUUCCAGACUACAUACGACAACUUCCAUGGCGCUGCCUCGGACUUCAAAG